This is a long non-coding RNA of Glycine soja, 410 nucleotides long. RefSeq lists it as uncharacterized. NCBI's taxonomy places the organism in Eukaryota, Viridiplantae, Streptophyta, Magnoliopsida, Fabales, Fabaceae. The record is from RefSeq and is a predicted model, not a curated record. The transcript is spliced from 2 exons.
AACCCAGAACCCUAGCCCUCGCCCUAAAACCAAAAUCUCGUUGCAGUGUUUUCGCCUUUCCUCUCACACCAAUGGCCGACUCUGUAAUUUCGAUUCAGUACCUCAAAGAUUUCGUUAAUUCUCAAAUCUAUGACGAUGAGAAAUGGGCCUUCAAUGCGGGAGAGUGAGAUAAAGCAAUAGCUCCAAUGUAUUUACUAUUUUGAAAUUUUACAGUUCUAUGUAUGAAAAUAUGAGAUCCUUUCUAAACUUGAGAGCUAUUCUGUGUGUUUUCUUUUAAUGUGCGAAGGAAAAAAAAGGUUGAUUUUUUUUUUUUGUGUGUGAUAUGGGAGUGCCUUUAGCUUGCAAAAGGGAUGGGUUGUCAUUUCCCUCCCAUUUUAUUCAUCGUUGCAACAUGAUAGAUCCGUGACCGA